GACGAACUCUGGCGGCGUGCUUAACACAUGCAAGUCGAACGAAGUGGCGAACGGGUGAGUAACGCGUAAUCAACCUGCCCUUCAGAGGGGGACAACAGUUGGAAACGACUGCUAAUACCGCAUACUGAAGGAGGGGAUUGCGUCUGAUUAGCUCGUUGGAGGGGUAACGGCCCACCAAGGCGAUGAUGGGUAGCCGGACUGGGAGGGUGAACGGCCACAAGGGGAAUGAGACACGGCCCUUACGCAGACGGGAGGAAGCAGUGGGGAAUAUUGGACAAUGGACCAAAGUCUGAUCCAGCAAGUCUGUGUGCAAGAUGAAGGUUUUCGGAAUGUAAAGUGCUUUCAGUUGGGAAGCGGUACCAACAGAAGAAGUGACGGCUAAAUACGUGCCAGCAGCCGCGGUAAUAC
This 408-nucleotide ribosomal RNA is filed under the name uncultured bacterium. RNAcentral describes it as "partial 16S ribosomal RNA". It matches the Rfam family "Bacterial small subunit ribosomal RNA", at positions 28 to 526 of the family's 1533-position model. The record is from RNAcentral.